Molecule: transfer RNA, 72 nt
Filed under: Camelus bactrianus (Bactrian camel)
Lineage: Eukaryota; Metazoa; Chordata; Mammalia; Artiodactyla; Camelidae
Also listed under: 2 other names
Rfam family: tRNA
About the family: Transfer RNA (tRNA) molecules are approximately 80 nucleotides in length. Their secondary structure includes four short double-helical elements and three loops (D, anti-codon, and T loops).
Source: Rfam by way of RNAcentral
GAGGGUAUAGCUCAGUGGUAGAGUGCAUGUUUGGUGUGCAUAAGGUUCUGGGUUCAAUCCCCAGUACCUCUA